AGCUCGCAAAGUGAGGAAAAUCAGUUUUCCAAAAAUAAAUAAAAAUGAGAAAAAUCAGCUUGGCAAAAAGAAAAUAAAAAUGAGAAAAAUCAGCUUGGCAAAAAGAAAUAAAAAUGAGAAAAAUCAGCUUGGCAAAAAGAAAUAAAAAGGAGAAAAAUCAAAAUAAAUGAGAAAAAUCAGGUUGGCAAAAAUCAAUAAAAAUGAGAAAAAUCAAAAUAAAUGAGAAAAAUCAGCUUGGCAAAAAGAAAAUAAAAAUGAGAAAAAUCAGCUUGGCAAAAAUCAAAAUAAAUGAGAGAAAUCAGGUUGGCAAAAAUCAAAAUGAGAAAAAUCAGGUUGCCAAAAAUAAAUAAAAAUGAGAAAAAUCAGCCUGGGGAGAACCUGGCUCCAUUAUUCCCAUUUCAGGGCAGAAAAGGUGAAAAAUUAUCAUUUUUCCAACAGGGAUCCAAAAUUCAGCAGCUGAGUCCUGUAAGUAGUUAAAUUAUUUUAAUUUUUCAAACUUUUAAAUUAUUUAAAUAUUUUCAAAUUUUUCAAAAUUUUAAUGAUUUCAAAUUUUUCAAAAUGUUUCAGAAAUUUUCAUCUGGAAUUUGCAUUUCUGUUCUCAUCCCAAAGGGCUCAGAGCAGUCUGGCUGCUUGGGAACAACCAAAAAUUUGAAUUUUUUUUUGAAUUUCCUUUCCUGAAAACCCGAGACCUCUUUGGAAAGCCAGGAACAAUUUUAACGAUAAUAAUUUAUAUAAUUUUAAUGAUAAUUAUUUCUAUUAUUUCUAAUGAUUUGCUGCCAGAUUUCUGCAUCCAAACUUCAUCAAUUCCUGUUCCAAAUUCCUGCAGGGUUCAAAGAGCCCCAAAAAUUCUGAAAAUUUCAGGUUAAAAUUUCAGAAUUCUCCCUCUCAAAUGCAGAAUUCUCUCUCUCUCAAAAUUCAGAAUUUUUAGUGCCAAAUUUUGGAUCAUUUCUGAGCCCAGCAUGGAUGAAAAGAAGAUUUUUUUCAUUUUGUGGAAAAUCAGAUUUUUCACCUUGUCAUGGACCAGCUCUGCCUCCAGGACCUUUCCUGGCUCAGCUUUUAAACAAAAAUUAUCAGAAUUUGCUGUGAAAUGUUUAAAAUUUUCCUUAUCAAUCGUUGACACAUCAGUGUUUGGGUUUUCUUGGAGGAAAGAGAAGAGGAAAUAAAAUUAAAAUGAGCAGGAUUAAAUCAUGAAAAUAAACAGGAUUAAAUCAUGAAAAUGAGCAGGAUUAAAAAAAUGAAAAUAAACAGGAUGAAAUAAAAUUUAAAUGAGCAGGAUUAAAUAAUGACAAUGAGCAGGAUUAAAUAAAAUUUAAAUGAGCAGGAUUAAAUGCACAGAGAGGAUUAAAUAAAAUGAAAAUGAGCAGGAUGAAAUCAUGAAAAUGAGCAGGAUUAAAUAAAAUUUAAAUGAGCAGGAUUAAAUGCACAGGGAGGAUGAAAUAAAAUGAAAAUGAGCAGGAUUAAAU
Molecule: long non-coding RNA, 1463 nt
Organism: Melospiza georgiana
Lineage: Eukaryota; Metazoa; Chordata; Aves; Passeriformes; Passerellidae
Exons: 2
Source: RefSeq, a predicted model, not a curated record